RNAcentral lists this ribosomal RNA (459 nucleotides) under uncultured bacterium. Its description in RNAcentral is "partial 16S ribosomal RNA". It matches the Rfam family "Bacterial small subunit ribosomal RNA", at positions 338 to 795 of the family's 1533-position model. The record is from RNAcentral.
CCUACGGGAGGCAGCAGUGAGGAAUAUUGGUCAAUGGGCGCGAGCCUGAACCAGCCAAGUCGCGUGAGGGAAGACGGUCCUAUGGAUUGUAAACCUCUUUUGUCGGGGAGCAAAAGACGCCACGCGUGGCGUUCCGAGAGUACCCGAAGAAAAAGCAUCGGCUAACUCCGUGCCAGCAGCCGCGGUAAUACGGAGGAUGCGAGCGUUAUCCGGAUUUAUUGGGUUUAAAGGGUGCGCAGGCGGAAGAUCAAGUCAGCGGUAAAAUUGAGGGGCUCAACCUCUUCGAGCCGUUGAAACUGGUUGUCUUGAGUGAGCGAGAAGUAUGCGGAAUGCGUGGUGUAGCGGUGAAAUGCAUAGAUAUCGCGCAGAACUCCGAUUGCGAAGGCAGCAUACCGGCGCUCAACUGACGCUCAUGCACGAAAGUGUGGGUAUCGAACAGGAUUAGAUACCCUAGUAGUC